AGCGGAGCUGACCCCCUACCAGAGGCUGAAGCGGAAAAGUGCUGUCCCGUCCAGAGCGCUGCACCUGGAGGAGCAGGAGCGGAUUCCCUUCUUCAAGUUCUGCUCCCAGUGCGGCCGCUCGGUGGGAGUGCGCCUGGUGCCCUGCACCCGCUGCUACGGGAUCCUGACCUGCAGCAAAUACUGCAAGACCAGAGCCUGGGGCGACUUCCACAAGCGGGACUGCGGCACCCUGUCAGUCAUCGUUCCUUCUCCAGGGCCCCACCUGGAGGACUUGCACAGGAGGGCGGAAGAAUCUCAAUGGCCGGAACAGCUGGGUGCCCGAGGCCUGGGGGGCGCCCAGCGGCAGGCCGCGCCGCCGCCGUGAUCCUCACCUGCUGGCAGCCACACCUUGGGGCGCCUCCGGGCUGCUGGCCUCGUGCAGGACGUCUGCACCUGCAGGGCUGUGCGUGACGACUUCCUCCUGACCUCGCAAUAAAGUGGCCCCACUGCGUGUGUGUUUAACCCUCCCUGCCUUGCUCCGCCGGCCCGUACCCAGACAAAGCCCAGAGCUUCCGAGGGUCUCCCUGGCAUCUGUCAGUUGAUGGGAAGGCUGGGAGGAUGAGGGUCAGGACUGGAGCUCGCUCUAGAGACUACUACCGGAAGGUCACUCCUGCACCGCUGGGGAACGUUUUGGGGCUUCCCAGGUGCUCCCAGCCCUGGCUCUCCAUCUGCAUUCCUGCUGGAAGGCUCCAGGCCCCCUGCUGGUCUCCAGAAGGGGGGGGUGUCCAUAUCUUCCACGUGCAUUUACCGAGUGUGUGUGUGCAUCAGGCAGGCUCUGGGGCGGGGACGGUGGAUAGGAAAAUCCGCCAUGAUUGAGACGGGUG
Molecule: long non-coding RNA, 863 nt
Organism: Leptonychotes weddellii (Weddell seal)
Lineage: Eukaryota; Metazoa; Chordata; Mammalia; Carnivora; Phocidae
Source: RefSeq, a predicted model, not a curated record